Molecule: ribosomal RNA, 433 nt
Filed under: uncultured bacterium
Lineage: Bacteria
Description: partial 16S ribosomal RNA
Rfam family: Bacterial small subunit ribosomal RNA
Source: RNAcentral
AACGAACGCUGGCGGCAUGCCUAACACAUGCAAGUCGAACGAGACCUUCGGGUCUAGUGGCGCACGGGUGCGUAACGCGUGGGAACCUGCCCUUAGGUUCGGAAUAACUCCCCGAAAGGGGUGCUAAUACCGGAUAAAGUCUUCGGACCAAAGAUUUAUCGCCUUUGGAUGGGCCCGCGUUGGAUUAGCUAGUUGGUAGGGUAAAAGCCUAUCAAGGCGACGAUCCAUAGCUGGUCUGAGAGGAUGAUCAGCCACACUGGGACUGAGACACGGCCCAGACUCCUACGGGAGGGAGCAGUGGGGAAUAUUGGACGAUGGGCGAAAGCCUGAUCCAGCAAUGCCGCGUGAGUGAUGAAGGCCUUAGGGUUGUAAAGCUAUUUUACCCGGGAUGAUAAUGACAGUACCGGGAGAAUAAGCACCGGCUAACUCCGUG